AUACGGAGGGUGCAAGCGUUGUUCGGAAUCACUGGGCGUAAAGGGCGCGCAGGCGGUUUGGUAAGUCAGAUGUGAAAGCCCACGGCUCAACCGUGGAAGUGCAUUUGAAACUGCCAGACUUGAGUACCAGAGGGGAAAGUGGAAUUCCCGGUGUAGAGGUGAAAUUCGUAGAUAUCGGGAGGAAUACCGGUGGCGAAGGCGACUUUCUGGCUGGAUACUGACGCUGAGGCGCGAAAGCGUGGGGAGCGAACAGGAUUAGAAACCCUAGUAGUCC
Molecule: ribosomal RNA, 274 nt
Filed under: uncultured bacterium
Lineage: Bacteria
Description: partial 16S ribosomal RNA
Rfam family: Bacterial small subunit ribosomal RNA
Source: RNAcentral